Long non-coding RNA from Theobroma umbraticum, 688 nucleotides. RefSeq lists it as uncharacterized. NCBI's taxonomy places the organism in Eukaryota, Viridiplantae, Streptophyta, Magnoliopsida, Malvales, Malvaceae. The record is from RefSeq and is a predicted model, not a curated record.
GAGCCACCCACCCCUUGUCCUCUUCAUAGUAUCAUCCCAUGAGUUUCCUAGAAGAAACGUAGAAUAAUGUAGGGAGUUUGUUUCUUUCUUUCUUUCUUUCCCUUUUCUCUGCUGUUUCUGGCUAGGAAGAAUUUGAGGUUUCCCUGGUGCCUGCCUUAGUUUUGGCUUUCAAGCUUCAAGUUGCACAAUCUGCACUUUCAACGUCUUUCUAUCGUAUAUGCAUCGUGUACGAGGUCAUUAACUCAUGCCCUAGAACCAUGAGCGGAAACGGAGAUGGGAGGAAGGUUGAUGCCAAAGCCAAGGAGUUUGGCUUCGACAAAUUAAGAGAGAGAAUAUCAAGGCAGGCACGUAUACAAAUGGACCUAUGGGGCGUAGCUCCAAGCUACUGAUUUCCGAUUCCAAUUCCAUCCUAGAGUGCAAAGCGCUCGACACGACACAGAUUCUACUUCUUUCAUCGGAGUUCCCCUUCAAGACUUCAGUUUUCCAGCCCAGACCGUAAAAGCUUAGAUUGCCCUUUGCCAAAUGAAAAAGUUAAAUAUGUUAUGUGUAUUGUGAUUUUGCGUCAAUGAAGAGUUCCCCCUUGAGCUUCAGAAUUUUCUUUAUUUUUUCAUCUUCUGGGCCAUGCUUUAUGCAAUUAAUUCUACGUUGAAUAAAUUAAGGAAAGAGGAAGACAUAAAUUUUUGGUCUA